This is a long non-coding RNA of Cucumis melo (muskmelon), 427 nucleotides long. RefSeq lists it as uncharacterized. The record is from RefSeq and is a predicted model, not a curated record. The transcript is spliced from 2 exons. NCBI's taxonomy places the organism in Eukaryota, Viridiplantae, Streptophyta, Magnoliopsida, Cucurbitales, Cucurbitaceae.
AAAAUUAAUCUAACUUUUAGGUCACUGUUAGGUGAGAAAAAUUAACCUAACUUUUAGGCCACUGUUAGGUGUGCAAAAAUUAACCUAACUAACGUUUAGGCCAUCUUUAGGUGUGCGCCAAAAUUAACUAAGCUAAUGUUUAGGCCAUUGUUAGGUGUGCGCCAAAAUUAACCAAGAUAACGUUUAGGCCACUGUUAGGUGUGCACGAAAAUUAACCAAGCUAACGUUUAGGCCACUGUUAGGUGUGCAUGAAAAUUAACCAAGCUAACGUUUAGACCACUGUUAGGUGUGCACGAAAAUUAACCAAGCUAACAUUUAGACCACCGUUAGGUGUGCAUGAAAAUUAGCCUAACGUUUAUGCCACUAUUAUGUGUGCGAAAAUUAACCUAAUGUUAGGUGUGCGAAAAUUUACAAGUUUGUCACUUUA